AUUGAACGCUGGCGGCAGGUCUAACACAUGCAAGUCGAGCGGAUGAAGGUAUCUUGCUCCUUGAUUCAGCGGCGGACGGGUGAGUAAUGCCUAGGAAUCUUCCUGCUCGUGGGGGAUAACGUCCGGAAACGGGCGCUAAUACCGCAUACGUCCUGAGGGCGAAAGCGGGGGCUCUUCGGACCUCACGCUAUCAGAUGAUCCUUGUUCGGUUUAGCUAGUUGGGGGGGUAAAGGCCUACGAAGGCGACGAUCCGUAACUGGUCUGAGAGGAUGAUCAGUCACACUGGAACUGAGACACGGUGCAGACUCCUACGGGUGGCAGCAGUGGGGAAUAUUGGACAAUGGGCGAAAGCCUGAUCCAGCCAUACCGCGUGUGUGAAGAAGGUCUUCGGAUUGUAAAGCACUUUAAGUUGGGAGGAAGGGCAGUAAGUUAAUACCUUGCUGUUUUGACGUUACCAACAGAGUGAGCACCGGCUAACUUCGUG
Molecule: ribosomal RNA, 484 nt
Filed under: uncultured bacterium
Lineage: Bacteria
Description: partial 16S ribosomal RNA
Rfam family: Bacterial small subunit ribosomal RNA
Source: RNAcentral